Molecule: transfer RNA, 75 nt
Filed under: Plectrocnemia sp. 1 YW-2021a
Lineage: Eukaryota; Metazoa; Arthropoda; Insecta; Trichoptera; Polycentropodidae
Description: tRNA-Tyr
Source: RNAcentral
AGUAAUAUGGCUGAAAUAUUUAAUAAGCAAUAAAUUGUAAAUUUAUUUAUGAAUUAAUAAAAAAUUCUGUUACUA